Molecule: ribosomal RNA, 492 nt
Filed under: uncultured bacterium
Lineage: Bacteria
Description: partial 16S ribosomal RNA
Rfam family: Bacterial small subunit ribosomal RNA
Source: RNAcentral
AGUGAACGCUGGCGGUAGGCCUAACACAUGCAAGUCGAACGGCAGCACAGUAAGAGCUUGCUCUUACGGGUGGCGAGUGGCGGACGGGUGAGGCAUACAUCGGAAUCUACUUUUUCGGGGGGGAUAACGUAGGGAAACUUACGCUAAUACCGCAUACGAUCUACGGGUGAAAGCAGGGGAUCUUCGGACUUUGCGCGAUUGAAUGAGCCGAUGUCGGAUUAGCUAGUUGGCGGGGUAAAGGCCCACCAAGGCGACGAUCCGUAGCUGGUCUGAGAGGAUGAUCAGCCACACUGGAACUGAGACACGGUCCAGACUCCUACGGGAGGCAGCAGUGGGGAAUAUUGGACAAUGGGCGCAAGCCUGAUCCAGCCAUACCGCGUGGGUGAAGAAGGCCUUCGGGUUGUAAAGCCCUUUUGUUGGGAAAGAACAGCAGCAGGUUAAUCCCCCGCUGUUCUGACGGUACCCAAAGAAUAAGCACCGGCUAACUUCGUG